AACCGCCCGGUGCGGACCCGCAUGCCGGGUGGUGUGGGAGGGGUCGGGCCGCGAGGCCUGCCCCUAUCCCAAU
Molecule: non-coding RNA, 73 nt
Filed under: Burkholderia sp. D7
Lineage: Bacteria; Pseudomonadati; Pseudomonadota; Betaproteobacteria; Burkholderiales; Burkholderiaceae
Source: RNAcentral